UCAAGACCAUGUUAGAAUGCAGUUACAUUAAGGGCAAAAGUACCAAAAUGCCUGUGUUCUAAAUUUGUAACCAUUGUAUUAGUUAGUACCUCAUACCAUUACGUACCCAAACACCAACUCUUCUGUAUGUUUUUAAAAAUGUGUCUGCCUAAGUAUUUCAGUUCACAAAAGUGUCAAUCAUUUGACCGUAUAUAAUUACAUUCACAGUUAUCAUUUUCUUCUUGUAAAAAAGUAGAAAGAGUUAUGUGAUCUCUGAAGAAUCGAUUAACUCUUUUAUGGGGGAGGGAUUACUGCAAGUUAUCUUUAGGAAAUAUAGACAUGCACUUUCAGAAAUUCUCCACAUGUGGACUAAAGGGGGCAGUGUUUCCUCGCAUAAAGAUGCCCAACUUCCGCUAAAAGUAGGGCAGUUCAGAGGUGAAACAGAAGGCUGUGUGGAAGGAAGUGAGUGAAGUGCUGGAGGGUGAAGGCAGGUUGAAGGGAACGGAGAGGUCACCUGCCUCCUCACGGGAGAAAUGGACCAGCUCCUGGGGGCAUCACUGUUGAUCCUGUGGCUUCAGCCAGACUGGGUGAGCAGUUAGCAGAAGAGUGGUGACCAGCAGCAGGUUAAGCAAACAUCUCCAUCCCUGAGUGUCCAAGAAUGAAGAGUUGCUAUUCUGAGCUGCGACUACAAUAGUAAUGUGUUUGAUUACUUCCAAUGGUACAAAAUGUACCCUGCGAGAGGUCCUGCACUCCUGAUAUCUAUAGGUUCAGAUAAAAAAGAAGAUGGAAGAUUCACAGUCUUCCACAACAAGAGUGCCAAACACUUCUCACUGCACAUUGCAGACUCCCAGCUGGGCGACACAGCCUUGUACCUGUGCGCAGCAAGUGCACAGUGCUCUCCAGGCACCUGCAGCCUGUACCCAAACCUGCAGCUGGGUCCAAGCCACCCCUACUUUAGGGUCUCAGAGUGGGAGGCAUGUAAACUUGCUUCCAUUUACACAAGACACUAGGGAGGGUGUGCUUUAAAGCAAGGGAGGCACGCUGAGCUUUUAGGAAGACUGAUACAUGGAAGUCCUGCUAAUGGGUCAAGGACAUCACUGGGAAUUCAGGUAUCCAAGAGUCUAACCAUUUUACUUCUUCAUUUACUAACUGUAGAGAAUAGGGUUUAUGUUCCAACAGCCUGACUACAGGACCCACAGUGCUGCUUCCCAGUAGAAGCCAUUAACCAAGCACACACACUUUUGAGAAGUUGCCAUUAAUUCAAUUUUUAGCACGUUUCUACAUCGAUGACCCAGGGAAGGGUCUGAUUAUCACUCACAGAUCAUGAAAGCCUGAUGCUAUUUAUAGGUAUUUUUUUUUAAAUAAAUGGCUGGAAGUUGCCCCUCAAGGGCUAAUUUUCUGAAGCUGAAGCUGAAGAUCCUAUAUAGUUGGAGAAUGCAGAAAUUCAGGAUACCUCUCUGGAAGCAAGGACAAGGCUCUCAAAUCUCAUUUAUGACAUGAGGUGUUUUUCUGUAAGAGGACUUCAGUAGGUGCUGAAGACUUUUUUGAAUAGACUAGAACUGAUCCAUAGUUUUGCAUAGCUUGGUUCAUCCAGGGAUCCUAGUGGGGAUGGUGUAACUAUAGGAGGAAAUCUACAGAUUGAUUAAUUCUGUCAGUUUUGAUUCUAUAUUUGUGAAUAUGGAUGUGAGGGUAACUCAAAGUGCAUUAGAUCCCUCAUCCCUCCAUAUGGGGGAGUAAGAGGGCACUUAUCUCAAGUGCAGUAUUUCCUUCAUGUUUGUUCAUGGCUUCCACUUACAUAGGAAGGUUCCAAGGUCCUUUUGGUAAUGCAUGGAAGUAAGAAUGAAAAGGAGGGAAUAAUCUGUACCUCCCUUCAUACUGAGGAUGGUUUGAUUUCAUAAAUAACAGAGGCCUCUGUUCCAAGACUCAGCCAAGUAAGUGAGCUGUGAAUAUUCCUGGCUCUUGGGCAUCCAGAGCCUGUUCCCAAACUCAGAACUGCAGCUAACGCACCCGGCAAAAGGCAGAGGCAGCUGAGAGCUGUUGCUGUCCUCUAGGGGAGUUAGGAAUACAGCCUUGAUGAAUCACUUCAUUCCAAUUUCAAAAAAUGCGAGGCAUGGAUGAAUAAUCAAGUUAGGUAUUGUACAUCCCUGUUCAUAACAACAGUAUUUCUAGUCAAUAACCAAAUAGGCUUUCUUAUCUCAGAUAUAUUUCACGUGAUUUAUUAAUUAUUCAAAGCCAGUUAUAUAGUCUCGUUAUAAUGGAGAAUGUUUACUCUGAUUGCCAUUAUGGUUUCCCUAUAUCAUGGCCCUGUAGGAAGGGAGCCCAAAAUAUGGGAAUAUGUGGAUGCUUUCUCUACAUUCCUAAGGCUACACAAAAGGUCAUGCCAGGAAAGGGAAAGCUACAUGCAGUCUCAUCCCUGUUAUUGUUGUCCAAGCUCUUCAUACUGCAUCACCCCCAUUUCCCCCAUCCCCACAGGUAGCAAUCUGCUCUUUCCUUGUUGUUAUAUUGAGAAGCAGCAUUGGUGGAGAGCUACUUUCUACAGCUGCCUGAGCCAUGAGUGUGCUGCCUUCUUGAACAGGAGAUCAACUUCUCUACAUCUCUCAAGACUUCAUGCAUAAUGCAAGACCAGUAAUUUCCACUGAAUACUGUCCUCAAGUUUUAGUUACUCAAUCAGAAAACACUUAUUCACCGAGUGCCUGGAACAUUCUACAUACAUGUUGCAUGCCUGAAAAUAAAAGAAGUAUGAGCAAAUAUAUAGUUAUGUAUAUAGGUAACUGACCAGACAGAGAAGACUGAAAAAAGACUAAGCCUAGGAAAGCAGGGGUGACAUGAAGGCAUAUGACCAUCCCCUCACUUGGCAGUGAGUCAGGAAACCCCAAAGUCUGAAGCCUAAGCUGAGACCUGAAGGUUUUGUAGGAUUAAUCAGGUUGAAAGAAGAUGGUAGAUAAGUGAUCUUUAAAACUACAAACACUGCAUUAAGGCAAUAAACAUCAUAAUGAAUUUCAGGACUGAAAGGCAAGGUUACUGAAUGAUAAAAUUAUACACACACACACACAUUAAAGCCAAACAACACUGCAAAGUAGAUUUUUAUGUAGAAUCAAAGUAGAUUAAAUUUUACAAAUGAAGAUUGACAAUGUUUGUGAAGUUCCCCAAAAUAUCCUCUAUUUACUUGAGAUGACUCCAAUGCGUCAUUCAUUUGACACCCAAUGUGUUUCUUAAUGCAGAAGAUGUAACCAGCAAGAAGUCGGCAUUGUGUCUCCCUUCGGGAGCAUGUAGUGGUGUAGGCUGUAUUACUAAAUAGUGUGAUCAAAGCCAUCCCAGGAGAAAAGUAAAAUAUGACCUCCUAACAGAGGCAUCUAAAUUGGAAGCUGAAUACAUGGGAGACUACCUAAGAGGGAUGGUAUCUUACUUAAGAUUUAUAAAAGCUAGUCAGAAAUGAAGUUAAAAAAAUAGAAAGAGAAUGUGCCAAGGUAUACACAGGAGGUUUCAUGUAGGGAAAUGACAUACAAGUAAUUCAGAUUGUCUGGAGCAUAGAACACCAAAUGGGUAAUAGUAAAUAUAAACCUAAAGCAAUGAGCAGAAACUACAUUCUGGGAAUAACUAUAAGCCACUGUAAAAUGCUUAUCUUCUGCCUUGAAGACAUUGGUGAGCACUGAAAGGGAUCUGAACAAGCAAAUGUUAUGUGAUACUCAUGAGAUAUUAUUUCACUAAUGAAAUAAAUGAAAUGUUGUAGCACUGAAAUACAGUCUGUUUUCAUGUUAAAUUUAUGUACAAUUGUACAUAUAUUUUCCCUAGUUUUUCUUUUAAUGUUGAGGUAAUUCUCACUAUAAGAAAUACAUUGGUAGAGACACGUAUUUUAUUAGAGUAUAUUGACAAGCUUUUCAUUAUAGCAAAAAAUGAUAUAUCUUGGACGUAAGCUUAGUCAAGGAAAGCCCAAAUCCACAUUUUACUCAACCUUUCUCAGCCCGGCCACAGGGGAGCACUGUUUAAAAGUAUUCUAAAGAGAUGCACACAAUUGGGUGUAAACAGUGAAAGUGCUGUCAUGUCUGCCUGAUGUUUGUCCCCCAAACAUGUGCUGUUCUGGAAACCACCCCAACAGGCAUCCCUCUGGGCUCAAAGUGCCUCCCACUGAGGAAGCUCAUUGAGAGGCGGACCUGGGCCUGACCUCCUGCCCCUGCCUUCCUCAGUAGAACUCAGGGAUCAUCAUUAUGUUUUCUUCAUUAAAAACUCAUAUAUAUCAUGCCAUAUUGUAAAUCUACUUCCACAUUUGUCUUUCUAUUGAGACCACCAGGUAUUUAAGACUACUGACUGCUUCAAAAUCAUGUUUAAACCCUAAAGCAUGCACAGUUGCCCAGUUCCAGG
This is a non-coding RNA of Manis javanica (Malayan pangolin), 4338 nucleotides long. The record is from RefSeq and is a predicted model, not a curated record. Lineage: Eukaryota; Metazoa; Chordata; Mammalia; Pholidota; Manidae.